UGGUGCGGUGCAGACUAAUUACACCGGCUGCUUAUCACUGCAGAUCUGUGCGCACAGACGGAGGCAGCACAAGCCGAGCCUGGAGACCAGUAACCUAGUGCACGAGCACACGCUAACCUGGAGAGGGAGUAUCAUGUAUCCCAAAGAUCCGCAGUCCCAAGGUGUUGCCCUCUAGGCCACAAUCCUCUGAGAUGUGUUGAAGGAGUGACUGCUUUAAAAGUGUCGUGCGGCAGGCCUGUCUACAUGCCGCUGGUGUUGAUUCCCAUGCCCGCUGCUUGGCCCAUGCAGGGGAGAGUCUGUGCCGCUUUGGGAAAAUCGUGAGCCACAACGCGGCCGUUCUCUCCUCCGCUGCCCAUGCGGCUCAGGCUGGAGCCCAACAUUGCUGCGUCGAUGAUUUGCUACAAGAGACAGACCACAGACAUGGUUCUUACUGUACACCAAAUCCAGAUUUAUCUUUCGAUUAAAGUUCGUGUGUCAUAUCUAUUAGAGAAAACAAGGUCUAAAGCAGGGUCAACUGUAACUCAAAGCUGUAUAUCCACCAGCUCUGGUGGAAAUUAAUGCUUUCUUUGAGUUGUAUAUGUCUGUCAAUAUGGCAGCCUUGCACAAUAAUUCAGUAGAUGGAAAAUAAUUAGAACAAUAAAAGAAAUGACGCGAGUUGGGAAGCCACUCAGUCCCACAUUAGUUGCACAUAAUGAAACCCUGUAGGCUUCAAACAGAGCUAAUGAUGUGGCCGUCGGGCUUCAAAUUCAAAUCCGGCACACUUCACUGCAUCAGACAGGAUAAUGUUUCCCCAGCUGAUACAGUCCAAUUGGCCUUGUCGGAGCUGUGAUUUCUGAUUUUUGCCUGCGAUAUUCUCAACUUAUACCACAGCACUGCUCGAGUCUCAAUUCUGAUUGAUCAAAAGGUGUUGAUUCAUUUUCUGGACCAGCACAGAUGUGACAAUAAUUCCAGCUGUGAAAUAAAUUACAAGCUCAUAUUAA
Long non-coding RNA from Neoarius graeffei (lesser salmon catfish), 980 nucleotides. RefSeq lists it as uncharacterized. Lineage: Eukaryota; Metazoa; Chordata; Actinopteri; Siluriformes; Ariidae. The record is from RefSeq and is a predicted model, not a curated record. The transcript is spliced from 2 exons.